CAUGUAGGCGGUUGUUUAAGUCUGAUGUGAAAGCCCUGGGCUCAACCCAGGAAGUGCAUUGGAUACUGGACAACUUGAGUACGGGAGAGGGAAGUGGAAUUUCGAGUGUAGGGGUGAAAUCCGUAGAUAUUCGAAGGAACACCAGUGGCGAAGGCGGCUUUCUGGACCGAUACUGACGCUGAGAUGCGAAAGCGUGGGGAGCAAACA
Molecule: ribosomal RNA, 207 nt
Filed under: uncultured bacterium
Lineage: Bacteria
Description: partial 16S ribosomal RNA
Rfam family: Bacterial small subunit ribosomal RNA
Source: RNAcentral